RNAcentral lists this ribosomal RNA (516 nucleotides) under fungal sp. 229c4c. RNAcentral describes it as "eukaryotic LSU rRNA". The stretch from base 157 to 310 matches the Rfam family "5.8S ribosomal RNA". Lineage: Eukaryota; Fungi. The record is from RNAcentral.
ACCAUUGUGAACGUUACCUUAACCGUUGCUUCGGCGGGCGGCGCCCGGCCCCUCGUGGCCCGCGGCGCCCCCCGGCCCCCUGCGGGCGCCCGCCGGAGGUAUACCUAACUCUUGAAUUACAUGGCCUCUCUGAGUCUUCUGUACUGAAUAAGUCAAAACUUUCAACAACGGAUCUCUUGGUUCUGGCAUCGAUGAAGAACGCAGCGAAAUGCGAUAAGUAAUGUGAAUUGCAGAAUUCAGUGAAUCAUCGAAUCUUUGAACGCACAUUGCGCCCGCCAGUAUUCUGGCGGGCAUGCCUGUUCGAGCGUCAUUUCAACCAUCAAGCCCCGGGCUUGUGUUGGGGACCUGCGGCUGCCGCAGACCCCGAAAACCAGUGGCGGGCUCGCUGUCACCCCGAGCGUAGUAGUUUACACCUCGCCCAGGGCGCGACGCGGGUUCCCGGCCGUUAAACCCCCACCAUCUAAAGGUUGACCUCGGAUCAGGUAGGAAGACCCGCUGAACUUAAGCAUAUCAAUA